Molecule: long non-coding RNA, 2172 nt
Organism: Macrobrachium nipponense
Lineage: Eukaryota; Metazoa; Arthropoda; Malacostraca; Decapoda; Palaemonidae
Exons: 3
Source: RefSeq, a predicted model, not a curated record
ACAUAGUUACGUGUUUUGCAUUUAAAUUAUUUAUGUUAGUGGUUGUGCAUUGACGUUUUCUACAUGAACGUAUUUUGUCGUUAAUAUCCAAACUGCUAGUGGUGUGUAAAUUAAUGAUUGUGCAUUGAUGUUUUAUACAUGAACUCGUUUCCAAACGAGCUAUUUGUGGUAUACUUCGUAGCCUAUUUGGAGCAAAACGAAAAUAAGCUUUAGGCAUACUAUGGCCCGUCUUUCUCCAUCAUUAGGUAUCCUCCACAUCAUAGGUAGGAACGCCCCUUAAUCGUGCAAACAUCCUCAGUGUUUCUCUCCCUGUCAUCUGAUCUAGCAGUGCAUCAAACUGCGGACAAUAUCCAAUUUGCUGUUGCACCUAUAGAAGAGAAGUUCCAGAUUUGUGGCCUGACCUAUUCGUGGAUUUUUCGGUGGAACAUAUAUGUACAGGCAUCAAUAAGCAUCAAUUUUCAGUUAUCGGCGAUUUUUGCAUAUCAUCACGCCGUUGAAAUGGAAAUACCACUGAUAACCGGGGACUGCGUGUAUCCAUAUUAUUUACAGAACAUUCACCGAUUUGCUGUAUUUUUCAGAGAAGUAUUCACUAAUUACUGUAUUUUUUUUUCAUUUUCGUGACUAGUAAAUACAGUUUUUGCAACAAAACUCAGGUAUACUGGUUAAUGUUUUUAAGGCUUUUUUUUUUUUUGGUGUUUGAACUAUCAAAAUAGGCAGUUAUGUAUAAGCAGUUUUAGAGAGGUGUCAAGUAUUCAGGGAUUUCAGCUAUUUGCUAUUUGCAGAGGUUGUGGUACACAUCCCCAUGAAUACUGGGUUUCAACUGUUUUAUGGUUAAAAAAUUUCUGGUUCAAAUGCAUUUAAAAUGGAAAUAUAAUAAUAAAGAUGAAAUAAGAUUAAAAUGAAAUAAAACUGUUUGAGGAGAUAGAGAUGCUAAUUGCUGCUUUGUAUAUGUUACUUAAUUUUUUGGAUGACUUAUCUGAGCAAACAUCUUGUAUGUUCAUGAAUACAAAUAUAAAAUUUGGGAGAGUAGUUUUGUUUAAUUUAUUAUAAAUAAGUAAUCUCUGAACCAAGCUUAUACAUCAGCCAUUCACAUAAAUUUAACAAAUAAUGUUUCUGUAAUAAUUCAUAGCAGCCAGCAAUGGUGCUAAUGUUUCUUGAGGUAACAAGAUAGACCUGAAAAGUGGGUGAACUACCAUUAACGUCACUUUUUUGACAGUUGAUUUACUGACCUACCUGUGCCCAGUACCCUAGUUUGGGGCUAAUAUUUCCAAACAUUAUUAUAUUAAAGAUUCCUGUCAAUAAAAGAAAUAUUCUUGAUAUAAUUAUCUUUGUGGCCUCAUAUGGCUUGAUUUAGGACUUAAUUUUUUCCUUUACUUCCAAUCAUUAGAAUUCCCUGCUCUCAAUUUCCAUGAUUUCUGCUUAGUCUCCCAUCUUUUUAAGAGAUGGGUCAUUUCUUCCUUCCCCUUCCAAUCUAGACCAUGAUCGGCCUGACACAUUGGUCAUUGCUUUAAAAAGGUUUGGGAGCACCCACUGAUCUUCACAUAUGAUUCUCUCAUACCUUCUUAUGUUCACCAUAUUUUUCAAGUACCAGUACACUCCCGACAGAAACAUCUGUACUACAAUCGACCCCCGCCUAUUCACUGUUCUGGAUUCACGGAUUUCUCUAUGGAACAUGUAUACUUCAUGUAUACACAUUAUUCGUGGAAUUUUUGCCUAUUCGUGGUAUUUUUCACUGGGAAAUAUUCACUAAUUACUGUAUUUUUAUAUGAUUUUUAUAACUAAAUAAAUGCACUUUUUGUGAUAAAACUAUUAAAAUACUAAGGUAUAAGCAUCUUUAGAGUUUUUUUUGUGUGUGUGUGUGUUUGAAUAAUCAAACCGGCAGUUCUAAGUAUUUUUAGAGGGUUUUAAGUAUUCGUGGAUUUUAGCCAUUCGCGAGAGGUUGUGGUACAUAUCCCCUGUGAAUACCAGGGGUCGACUGUAUGUACUUUGAAUUUAUAGCUAAUUUUUUAUGGAUUUAUUCAUCACUUCAUAAAAAAUAUAUUUCAAUGGCAAUGAAAUGUGUAAAAUUAAAUACCCACCUUUUUUAAAUCUGACUUUAUACUGUAUCCAUUGACAUAUGCAUCUCCUAUAGACACUUGUAAAUCUCCUGUUAACAUUUUAAAUGUCGUUGUC